CCUACGGGAGACAGCAGUGGGGAAUAUUGCACAAUGGGGGGGACCCUGAUGCAGCGACGCCGCGUGAGUGAAGAAGUAUCUCGGUAUGUUAAGCUCUAUCAGCAGGGAAGAAAAUGACGGUACCUGACUAAGAAGCCCCGGCUAACUACGUGCCAGCAGCCGCGGGAAUACGUAGGGGGCAAGCGUUAUCCGGAUUUACUGGGUGUAAAGGGAGCGCAGACGGCUGUGCAAGUCUGGAGUGAAAGGCGGGGGCCCAACCCCCGGACUGCUCUGGAAACUGUAAAGCUGGAGUGCAGGAGAGGUAAGCGGAAUGCGUAGUGUAGCGGUGAAAUGCGUAGAUAUUAGGAGGAACACCGGUGGCGAAGGCAGCUUACUGGACUGCAACUGACGUUGAGGCUCGAAAGCGUGGGGAGCAAACAGGAUUAGAUACCCGAGUAGUC
Molecule: ribosomal RNA, 440 nt
Filed under: uncultured bacterium
Lineage: Bacteria
Description: partial 16S ribosomal RNA
Rfam family: Bacterial small subunit ribosomal RNA
Source: RNAcentral